Molecule: ribosomal RNA, 206 nt
Filed under: uncultured bacterium
Lineage: Bacteria
Description: partial 16S ribosomal RNA
Rfam family: Bacterial small subunit ribosomal RNA
Source: RNAcentral
AGCGCAGGUGGUUUAUUAAGUCUGGUGUAAAAGGCAGUGGCUCAACCAUUGUAUGCAUUGGAAACUGGUAGACUUGAGUGCAGGAGAGGAGAGUGGAAUUCCAUGUGUAGCGGUGAAAUGCGUAGAUAUAUGGAGGAACACCGGUGGCGAAAGCGGCUCUCUGGCCUGUAACUGACACUGAGGCUCGAAAGCGUGGGGAGCAAACA